UGAGCCGGCCGGGCGGUCGCGUGGAUCUUCGGAUCCACGAGGAACGUCCGGGCUCCACAGAGCAGGGUGGUGGGUAACGCCCACCCGGGGUGACCCGCGGGACAGUGCCACAGAAAACAGACCGCCGGGGGCCGCGAGGCUUCCGGUAAGGGUGAAACGGUGGUGUAAGAGACCACCAGCGUCCAGGGUGACCUGGACGGCUAGGUAAACCCCACUCGGAGCAAGGUCAAGAGGGGCCGCCGUCAGGCGACCCUGCGCGGACGUCCGAGGGCUGCUCGCCCGAGUCCGCGGGUAGACCGCACGAGCCUGUCGGCAACGGCAGGCCUAGAUGGAUGGCCGCCUCCCCGAGGGCCGCGAGGCCCCUGGGAGACAGAACCCGGCGUACAGGCCGACUCAUCCG
Molecule: RNase P RNA, 400 nt
Filed under: Streptomyces griseocarneus
Lineage: Bacteria; Bacillati; Actinomycetota; Actinomycetes; Kitasatosporales; Streptomycetaceae
Description: RNase P RNA component class A
Rfam family: Bacterial RNase P class A
About the family: Ribonuclease P (RNase P) is a ubiquitous endoribonuclease, found in archaea, bacteria and eukarya as well as chloroplasts and mitochondria.
Source: RNAcentral